GCCAGCUUGGCUCAGUGGAUAGAGCGUCAGCCUGUGGACUGAAGGUCCCAGGUUCAAUUCCUGCCAAGGGCA
Non-coding RNA from Myotis lucifugus (little brown bat), 72 nucleotides. The record is from Rfam. NCBI's taxonomy places the organism in Eukaryota, Metazoa, Chordata, Mammalia, Chiroptera, Vespertilionidae.